Molecule: ribosomal RNA, 468 nt
Filed under: uncultured bacterium
Lineage: Bacteria
Description: partial 16S ribosomal RNA
Rfam family: Bacterial small subunit ribosomal RNA
Source: RNAcentral
GACGAACGCUGGCGGCGUGCUUAACACAUGCAAGUCGAACGGAAAGGCCCUGCUUUUGUGGGGUGCUCGAGUGGCGAACGGGUGAGUAACACGUGAGUAACCUGCCCUUGACUUUGGGAUAACUUCAGGAAACUGGGGCUAAUACCGGAUAGGAGCUCCUGCUGCAUGGUGGGGGUUGGAAAGUUUCGGCGGUUGGGGAUGGACUCGCGGCUUAUCAGCUUGUUGGUGGGGUAGUGGCUUACCAAGGCUUUGACGGGUAGCCGGCCUGAGAGGGUGACCGGCCACAUUGAGACUGAGAUACGGCCCAGACUCCUACGGGAGGCAGCAGUGGGGAAUAUUGCACAAUGGGCGGAAGCCUGAUGCAGCAACGCCGCGUGCGGGAUGACGGCCUUCGGGUUGUAAACCGCUUUCGCCUGUGACGAAGCGUGGGUGACGGUAAUGGGUAAAGAAGCACCGGCUAACUACGUG